This 334-nucleotide ribosomal RNA is filed under the name uncultured eukaryote. RNAcentral describes it as "partial 18S ribosomal RNA". It matches the Rfam family "Eukaryotic small subunit ribosomal RNA", at positions 1470 to 1796 of the family's 1831-position model. The record is from RNAcentral.
CCCUUAGAUGUUCUGGGCCGCACGCGCGCUACACUGAUACAGGCAGCAAGUUUGUAUGUGUCCUUGGCUGAGAGGCCUGGGUAAUCUUGUGAAAUUGUAUCGUGAUGGGGAUAGGUCACUGUAAUCGUUGACCUUUAACGAGGAAUUCCUAGUACGCGCAAGUCAUCAGCUUGCAUGGAUUACGUCCCUGCCCUUUGUACACACCGCCCGUCGCACCUACCGAUUGAGUGGUCCGGUGAAGACCUCGGACUGUGGCUGCGGUUGCUUGAUUGCGACUGUGUGCUGUGGGAAGUUGUCUAAAUCUUAUCACUUAGAGGAAGGUGAAGUCGUANCA